AUUGCAAGUGAUGUGUUGUGCUGUGUGUUAAUUGUACAUUUUCCAGGCUGAAACGGACCAACCAAAACAAACCAAAACAAACCCACUCAGAUGAAGGCUGGGAUGUUUCCGCGCGGCACUGGACUGUUCUGGACGGACGGAUUUGGACUCUUGAAGCGGACGACAAAUUGAUGCUGAAUCGAAGGAUGUCGCAUGCAGCUGGACUGGACAUGAAUGUGGACCACGGCACGGGGCCGGAACUAUUUAGCGGGACUGGCGCUGGACGGACUGCUGCCAUGCUGACCCGGAAUUGCCUCAAACGGCCUAUUUGAAGACAGCUAUAACGGAUGCCGAGAAGGGAAGUUGACUUCCAGUUAAAGGUAAGUGUGUGAACAAAUUUUAAUGUUUUCUUUUUCAUUUUAGGAACAAUCGGAUGGCAAAACCCAAGAUGCGAAAUCCACCCCCAAGGAAGACUUCAAUAAGAACCUACAUUUAACAUAAACUCCCACAUUAAACAUUAACCCACUAAAUCCCAAAAUUUUUGCUAAAUAUUGUGAUAAAUAAAUAAACACUUAAAUAACUAACAAA
This is a long non-coding RNA of Topomyia yanbarensis, 567 nucleotides long. RefSeq lists it as uncharacterized. The record is from RefSeq and is a predicted model, not a curated record. The transcript is spliced from 3 exons. NCBI's taxonomy places the organism in Eukaryota, Metazoa, Arthropoda, Insecta, Diptera, Culicidae.